UCGGCUUAUUCCUCUCCUUACGGGUAAGGCAAGAAGUGCCUAUGUUCAUAUGGAUGUUGAUGAGACACUAAAUUAUGAUAAUGUGAAAACAGCAAUUUUGAAGAAGUAUGACAUUAAUCCAGAGACCUAUAGACAAAGGUUUUGUUCCCUGUAUGUUUAUCCUGAUGAGAGCCCCAAAGAGCUGUACGUGAGGCUAAAGGAGUUGUUUGGGAAAUGGAUUCCACCCAGAGGUGUGGAUAAAAGAGCAUGAUCCGAAAUCAGCUGCAGAAGCCUCCACCUUUGCUGAUGUGUUUGUGGCUGCUCGAAGGAAGGGCCAGCCAUGGAGUAACACUUCCUUUAAAGACAAGGACACCUGCAGGCCAGCUCCAUCUCGGCAUCAACAGGGUUCAGCAACAGGUGAGUAAAAUCCCUGCCAGAAAUGAACUGCCUGCAAAUAUUCAUAAUAAAUUUAAUAAAAUAAUUCCAGUUUGUUACCUUUGUGGGCUGGAAGGGCACAUCAAACCUAUGUUUCCACAAAACCCUUUAAAACUGAUCCAGAUGUGCUUUGUGUCAUGCCAAGACUCGGAUGUAAAACAAGAAAAGGAAUUCCAAUGAGAAUGACUACAGUAAAAAUCAAUAGGAGAAGACAUAAAGCCUUGAUAGAUAUUUGCAGUACUCAGACCUUGGUUCACAGACUACUUGUACCAAGUAGUAUGUGUACUUAUGAGACCAUCCCAUUCUGUUGCGUGCAUGGUGAUGAGAAGCCUUACCCUACUGCUGACAUAUUUAUUGAUGUACAAGGACAACCAUAUUUAUUGAAUGUAGGUGUAGCUGAUAACCUGCCAUUCCCAGUAGUUUUGGGUGAAGACCUGCCAGUGCUCUAUGAUUUGUUAAAACCAGCAAAAGACUGUAAUGUGGCUAUUACGAGAACCAAAGCUAAAGAAGUGAAUGAGCAUCUUCCAACUUUGAGUACCUUACCUUUCUUUGAUGCUGACUUAGAAACUAAACCUGGGAGAUCUAAGAAAUCAAGAAGUCAAAGAAAGCAAGAGAAAUUUAGAGGUACUACUGUAAAGUUGCCAGAUGAGGCUACCCCUGAUGAACCAUUGGGAUUUCAAAUGCCAAUAAACAUCAUUCAAGUUGUGGAGAUA
Molecule: long non-coding RNA, 1127 nt
Organism: Girardinichthys multiradiatus
Lineage: Eukaryota; Metazoa; Chordata; Actinopteri; Cyprinodontiformes; Goodeidae
Exons: 2
Source: RefSeq, a predicted model, not a curated record